UUAGCGGUAGCUUAAAGGUAGAGCGUUUUCACUUGGAUACUAGAAAAAGGUUGGAGGUUCAAUUCCUCUCCGCUAAACCA
RNAcentral lists this transfer RNA (80 nucleotides) under Caudoviricetes sp. RNAcentral's name for it is "tRNA-OTHER". It matches the Rfam family "tRNA". From Rfam's summary of the family: Transfer RNA (tRNA) molecules are approximately 80 nucleotides in length. Their secondary structure includes four short double-helical elements and three loops (D, anti-codon, and T loops). Lineage: Duplodnaviria; Heunggongvirae; Uroviricota; Caudoviricetes. The record is from RNAcentral.